RNAcentral lists this long non-coding RNA (570 nucleotides) under Canis lupus familiaris (dog). Its description in RNAcentral is "lncRNA (ENSCAFG00000052352.1)". The record is from RNAcentral. Lineage: Eukaryota; Metazoa; Chordata; Mammalia; Carnivora; Canidae.
AUGCAGAUGGCCAGUUGAGUUCGAACCUUGGGUAAACCAUGAAGCACGAUUCAGUGUUUGUUAGCACGUGUCCCAUCCAGUGUGGGGGACACACUUCUCCGAAAACACGAUCUAUUGUUUAUCUGAAGUUCAGAUUUGGCUGGAUGCUGUCUGGCGGCUGUUCCUAAUCCCGCCUGGACGGAUCGUGGGCCUCAGUUGUCCUUUCUGUGCUUCGGAUCUCGGAACCGCUCUCUGUCUUGCAAAACACCCCCACUGGCUUUCCUGAUCCUGAAAGCGCCACACGCGCGCUCCACCAAAACCUGUCCCGGGUGAGAGGAGAAAGGGCCCUUUGUUCCCCGGCCCCUCGUCCCCCCUGGAACCUUCUGGCUCCCCGCGCCAGGCAGCAGCGGCGGCGCACCUCGGCACUGUGGUUUCUUCACGCAGAGUUUUGCAACAGCUUUUUUCCACUCGACAAUAGAGGGCCCCACAGCUUUUAUUUCCAGAAAUUGGAAAAUGAAGCGUGUCCAGCCCCUGCCGGCUCACCCACCUUGGGCUGAAAUUUCAGCCACGUGAAGCGGCCGGGCUGGGGUG